UGCUCGAGCUGCUUCCGCGGCGA
This 23-nucleotide non-coding RNA is filed under the name Arabidopsis thaliana (thale cress). The record is from RNAcentral. Lineage: Eukaryota; Viridiplantae; Streptophyta; Magnoliopsida; Brassicales; Brassicaceae.